GCCCUCGGUGGCUCAGAUGGCUAGAGCGUCUGCCAUGUAAGCAGGGGAACCUGGGUUCGAGUCCCAGUCGGGGCA
This 75-nucleotide transfer RNA is filed under the name Schistocerca americana (American grasshopper). RNAcentral's name for it is "tRNA-Thr". It matches the Rfam family "tRNA". Rfam says of the family: Transfer RNA (tRNA) molecules are approximately 80 nucleotides in length. Their secondary structure includes four short double-helical elements and three loops (D, anti-codon, and T loops). The record is from RNAcentral. Lineage: Eukaryota; Metazoa; Arthropoda; Insecta; Orthoptera; Acrididae.